RNAcentral lists this small RNA (395 nucleotides) under Hyphoderma orphanellum. Its description in RNAcentral is "eukaryotic LSU rRNA". The stretch from base 1 to 125 matches the Rfam family "5.8S ribosomal RNA", at positions 30 to 154 of the family's 154-position model. Lineage: Eukaryota; Fungi; Basidiomycota; Agaricomycetes; Polyporales; Hyphodermataceae. The record is from RNAcentral.
GCAUCGAUGAAGAACGCAGCGAAAUGCGAUAAGUAAUGUGAAUUGCAGAAUUCAGUGAAUCAUCGAAUCUUUGAACGCACCUUGCGCUCCUUGGUAUUCCGAGGAGCAUGCCUGUUUGAGUGUCGUGAAAUUCUCAACCCUUGCGGCUUUGUUGCUCGCUCGGGCUUGGACUUGGGGGUGUCUUGCUGGCCGCUCGCGCGGUCGGCUCCCCUGGAAUGUAUUAGCUGGGUUUCUCCGACUCGGGGUGGUUCACGGUGUGAUACUUUUUUGUUGACGCCUUGUAUCUCGAGUCUGGCUUGGCUUACAAUCAAGUCUUCAUUGGCUUACUUUUAACGAUCUGACCUCAAAUCAGGUAGGACUACCCGCUGAACUUAAGCAUAUCAAUAAGCGGAGGA